Molecule: long non-coding RNA, 1028 nt
Organism: Aegilops tauschii subsp. strangulata
Lineage: Eukaryota; Viridiplantae; Streptophyta; Magnoliopsida; Poales; Poaceae
Source: RefSeq, a predicted model, not a curated record
GGACCGAUUAAAAAACACCACUCCCCACCCGCUGCCCCGAUUCCCACCUCCUCCCUCGACCCACUCCCCCGAAUGCCAGAUCUCGCCGCCGCCUCCUCCCCAAACCGCCGCCGGGGCCGCCUCCUCCCCCAACCUCUGCUUCCCCGAGCCCCUCAUCCCGCCGACGCCCUCUGAUCCCGCCGCGCCGCGCCCUCACCAUGCCCCACGCCGCGCGCGCCUUCCCAGGAACACCCCGCCGCCACGAGCCCUCCCGAGAACCCCCCCCCCCCCCCCCCCCCCCCCCGCCCCCCCCGCCUGCACCCUCCCUGGAACCACCGCAGCCCGCCCUCCCCUGACCCCCGCGCCACCAUGCCGCCACCAGGAUCCAAUCGUCGACGAGCGGCUGUCUGCGAGCCUCCUCCCAGUCGCAAUCGAGGCCAGACGCCUCGAUGCCGUCGUACGCCAUCUGUUGCCCGGCAGACACGCACCAUCCCAGAGCCGUCGUGCCUUCUUGCGCCUCGUCUGGUACGCCGUCUUGCCUCCCCUGCCACCUAAGCUGCCCCGGCGUCGCCCAGCUCCUCCUCCGACGAUGACCCCCCGGCCACGCGAGCCUCCUCGCUGCUCUGCCCCGGCCAUGGGUACCUCCCCGUCCACUCUCCGGCGACGCAAACCACCUCCGCCCGCCGUAGCAGAGGGCAGGCCGCCGUUCGUGGUUUCUGCUCCCCUCCGCCACUAUGUGAGAGAGUUCACCGAUUCAGCGCGACCUUCCCUUUGCUCCAGCGCGGCCUGCCCUUCCCUCUGGUGCGACCUGCCCUCUGCUACGACGAGCACCCCUCUAGCGCGCCUGCACUCUGCUCCGUUGGUGCCUCCCUUCUCUCUCCACUAUGAUGGCAGUGCGGGCACAAAUUUGAAGAGCCAAAGAAAAUGGAAAAAAAGAAUGCAUUAGUAUAGCUAUUCAGCAGAAAAUCGUCAAAGAGAUGUUGCUUCGAUGGGUUUUUGUGUGCUUGUAUUUGAAAGAAUACGUCAAAGAAAAUUCAGCUGCUUGUGUA